UUGAAGGGGACAAGUCGUCCAGGUUUUGGGCAUGGAGGAGAGGCAUAAGAUUCAAGUUUUUCAAAGGGAGCUCCCUCUCUGCUUGGAGCUUGUCACUCAACUGCCCAAGCCCAAGCUAUUGAGAGGUGCAAGCAGCAGAUUUCAGAUGCAACCGCAAAUUACCUGCAUGGACAAUCUAAGUGUUCUGAGCAGACUUCAAGUGAGGGGCAUGUUUUUUGAGGAAUUCAUUCCAUUAACACGGAUUUCAUAACAACUCCAGAUGCACCACUCGAAGAGGGUAAUGGCAGGAGGAGCAAGUUAAAGGCUAUAGUGAUGGAGAUGAAGAGAAAUGGGGUGCUUUUCAGCCUUUCCAAAGG
Non-coding RNA from Malus domestica (apple), 356 nucleotides. NCBI's taxonomy places the organism in Eukaryota, Viridiplantae, Streptophyta, Magnoliopsida, Rosales, Rosaceae. The record is from RefSeq and is a predicted model, not a curated record.